GAGGGCAAGUCUGGUGCCAGCAGCCGCGGUAAUUCCAGCUCCAAUAGCGUAUAUUAAAAUUGUUGCAGUUAAAAAGCUCGUAGUUGAAUUUCAGCUGCUCCGCACUUUCUUCCCGUUAUGGAGGUUGUGCGCCGUGGCUUAUUUCGGACUGUGUUAUGCACUGUCCGGAUGUUUACUUUGAGAAAAUUAGAGUGCUCAAAGCAGGCUUUUGGCUUGAAUAGUUUAGCAUGGAAUAAUAAAGUAGGACUUUGGUUCUAUUUUGUUGGUUUUAGGUACCAAAGUAAUGGUUAAUAGGAGCAGUUGGGGGUACUCGUAUUUAACUGUCAGAGGUGAAAUUCUUAGAUUUGUUAAAGACGAACUACUGCGAAAGCAUUUGCCAAGGAUGUUUUCAUUAAUCAAGAACGAAAGUUAGGGGAUCGAAGACGAUCAGAUACCGUCGUAGUCCUAACCAUAAACUAUGCCGACUAGAGAUUGGAGGUCGUCAGUUUUUACGACUCCUUCAGCACCUUGAGAG
Molecule: ribosomal RNA, 514 nt
Filed under: Theileria cervi
Lineage: Eukaryota; Apicomplexa; Aconoidasida; Piroplasmida; Theileriidae
Description: SSU rRNA
Rfam family: Eukaryotic small subunit ribosomal RNA
Source: RNAcentral